This 404-nucleotide ribosomal RNA is filed under the name uncultured bacterium. RNAcentral's name for it is "bacterial SSU rRNA". It matches the Rfam family "Bacterial small subunit ribosomal RNA", at positions 355 to 776 of the family's 1533-position model. The record is from RNAcentral.
UGGGGAAUAUUGCACAAUGGAGGAAACUCUGAUGCAGCAACGCCGCGUGGAGGAUGACACUUUUCGGAGCGUAAACUCCUUUUAUAUAGGAAGAUAAUGACGGUACUAUAUGAAUAAGCACCGGCUAACUCCGUGCCAGCAGCCGCGGUAAUACGGAGGGUGCAAGCGUUACUCGGAAUCACUGGGCGUAAAGAGCGUGUAGGCGGAUAGAUAAGUUUGAAGUGAAAUCCAAUGGCUCAACCAUUGAACUGCUUUGAAAACUGUUUAUCUAGAAUAUGGGAGAGGUAGAUGGAAUUUCUGGUGUAGGGGUAAAAUCCGUAGAGAUCAGAAGGAAUACCGAUUGCGAAGGCGAUCUACUGGAACAUUAUUGACGCUGAGACGCGAAAGCGUGGGGAGCAAACAGG